This 352-nucleotide unclassified non-coding RNA is filed under the name soil metagenome. RNAcentral describes it as "partial contains 5.8S ribosomal RNA, internal transcribed spacer 2, and large subunit ribosomal RNA". The stretch from base 1 to 120 matches the Rfam family "5.8S ribosomal RNA", at positions 35 to 154 of the family's 154-position model. The record is from RNAcentral.
GAUGAAGAACGUAGCGAAAUGCGAUAAGUAAUGUGAAUUGCAGAAUUCAGUGAAUCAUCGAAUCUUUGAACGCACAUUGCGCCCGCCAGUAUUGUGGCGGGCAUGCCUGUUCGAGCGUCAUUACAACCCUCAGGCCCCCGGGCCUGGCGUUGGGGAUCGGCGGAGCCCCCCGUGGGCACACGCCGUCCCCCAAAUACAGUGGCGGUCCCGCCGCAGCUUCCAUCGCGUAGUAGCUAACACCUCGCGACUGGAGAGCGGCGCGGCCACGCCGUAAAACACCCAACUCUUCUGAAGUUGACCUCGAAUCAGGUAGGAAUACCCGCUGAACUUAAGCAUAUCAAUAAGCGGAGGA